This 530-nucleotide ribosomal RNA is filed under the name uncultured bacterium. RNAcentral describes it as "bacterial SSU rRNA". It matches the Rfam family "Bacterial small subunit ribosomal RNA", at positions 16 to 518 of the family's 1533-position model. The record is from RNAcentral.
AUCCUGGCUUAGGACGAACGCUGGCGGCGUGCCUAAUACAUGCAAGUCGAACGGUCUUUCUAUGGAAGCUUGCUUCCGCUGAGAAGAUAGUGGCGAACGGGUGAGUAACACGUGGGUAACCUGCCCAUAAGAGGGGGGAUAACAUCCGGAAACGGGUGCUAAUACCGCAUAGUUUUCUUGAUCGCAUGAUCGGGAAAGGAAAGACGGCCUUUGUGCUGUCGCUUAUGGAUGGACCCGCGGCGUAUUAGUUAGUUGGUGAGGUAACGGCUCACCAAGACGAUGAUACGUAGCCGACCUGAGAGGGUGAUCGGCCACAUUGGGACUGAGACACGGCCCAAACUCCUACGGGAGGCAGCAGUAGGGAAUCUUCCGCAAUGGACGAAAGUCUGACGGAGCAACGCCGCGUGAGUGAAGAAAGGUUUUCGGAUCGUAAAACUCUGUUGUCAGAGAAGAACAAGUUGGAGAGUAACUGCUCCAGCCUUGACGGUAUCUGACCAGAAAGCCACGGCUAACUACGUGCCAGCCGCCGC